Molecule: ribosomal RNA, 1328 nt
Filed under: Serratia nematodiphila
Lineage: Bacteria; Pseudomonadati; Pseudomonadota; Gammaproteobacteria; Enterobacterales; Yersiniaceae
Description: partial 23S ribosomal RNA
Rfam family: Bacterial large subunit ribosomal RNA
Source: RNAcentral
AAUCGUACCCCAAACCGACACAGGUGGUCAGGUAGAGAAUACCAAGGCGCUUGAGAGAACUCGGGUGAAGGAACUAGGCAAAAUGGUGCCGUAACUUCGGGAGAAGGCACGCUGGCAUGUAGGUGAAGUCCCUUGCGGAUGGAGCUGAAGCCAGUCGAAGAUACCAGCUGGCUGCAACUGUUUAAUAAAAACACAGCACUGUGCAAACACGAAAGUGGACGUAUACGGUGUGACGCCUGCCCGGUGCUGGAAGGUUAAUUGAUGGGGUCAGCCGCAAGGCGAAGCUCUUGAUCGAAGCCCCAGUAAACGGCGGCCGUAACUAUAACGGUCCUAAGGUAGCGAAAUUCCUUGUCGGGUAAGUUCCGACCUGCACGAAUGGCGUAAUGAUGGCCAGGCUGUCUCCACCCGAGACUCAGUGAAAUUGAACUCGCUGUGAAGAUGCAGUGUACCCGCGGCAAGACGGAAAGACCCCGUGAACCUUUACUAUAGCUUGACACUGAACAUUGAGCCUUGAUGUGUAGGAUAGGUGGGAGGCUUUGAAGCGUGGACGCCAGUCUGCGUGGAGCCAUCCUUGAAAUACCACCCUUUAAUGUUUGAUGUUCUAACUCGGCCCCGUGAUCCGGGGUGAGGACAGUGUCUGGUGGGUAGUUUGACUGGGGCGGUCUCCUCCCAAAGAGUAACGGAGGAGCACGAAGGUUAGCUAAUCACGGUCGGACAUCGUGAGGUUAGUGCAAAGGCAUAAGCUAGCUUGACUGCGAGAGUGACGGCUCGAGCAGGUACGAAAGUAGGUCUUAGUGAUCCGGUGGUUCUGAAUGGAAGGGCCAUCGCUCAACGGAUAAAAGGUACUCCGGGGAUAACAGGCUGAUACCGCCCAAGAGUUCAUAUCGACGGCGGUGUUUGGCACCUCGAUGUCGGCUCAUCACAUCCUGGGGCUGAAGUAGGUCCCAAGGGUAUGGCUGUUCGCCAUUUAAAGUGGUACGCGAGCUGGGUUUAGAACGUCGUGAGACAGUUCGGUCCCUAUCUGCCGUGGGCGUUGGAAGAUUGAGAGGGGUUGCUCCUAGUACGAGAGGACCGGAGUGAACGCACCACUGGUGUUCGGGUUGUCAUGCCAAUGGCAUUGCCCGGUAGCUAAGUGCGGAAAAGAUAAGCGCUGAAAGCAUCUAAGCGCGAAACUUGCCUCAAGAUGAGUCUUCCCUGGGCCUUUAAGGCCCCUGAAGGAACGUUUAAGACUAAGACGUUGAUAGGCUGGGUGUGUAAGUGCAGCGAUGCAUUGAGCUAACCAGUACUAAUGAUCCGUGAGGCUUAACCUUACAACACCGAAGGUGUUU